GUAGAGAUAUUAGUGUAUUACCUGUAUAUUUCAGAUGCUGGUGCUGCUACUGCUGGACCAAGUGAUGUGAUGUACGCCAAGAUUCAACUCAAAGAGUUGGACAAGAAAAAGAAAAAAAUGACAUCUGAUCCAAAAGAAAAUCCAGUCUAUUCUGAGGUCAAGACGGGGAAGACCACAGCAGCAACUGGACCUGUUGAUGUGACCUAUGCUGAGGUUGACCUUAAACAGAAGGCCAAAGUCAAGAAGAAGAAAUGUAAGACAGG
Molecule: long non-coding RNA, 263 nt
Organism: Salvelinus sp. IW2-2015
Lineage: Eukaryota; Metazoa; Chordata; Actinopteri; Salmoniformes; Salmonidae
Source: RefSeq, a predicted model, not a curated record